UACGUAGGGGGCAAGCGUUGUCCGGAAUCAUUGGGCGUAAAGCGCGUGUAGGCGGUCCGGUAAGUCCGCUGUGAAAGUCGGGGGCUUAACCCUCGGAUGCCGGUGGAUACUGUCGGGCUUGAGUACGGAAGAGGCGAGUGGAAUUCCUGGUGUAGCGGUGAAAUGCGCAGAUAUCAGGAGGAACACCCGUGGCGAAAGCGGCUCUCUGGGACGGUACUGACGCUGAGACGCGAAAGCGUGGGGAGCAAACAGG
This 253-nucleotide ribosomal RNA is filed under the name uncultured bacterium. RNAcentral's name for it is "partial 16S ribosomal RNA". It matches the Rfam family "Bacterial small subunit ribosomal RNA", at positions 524 to 776 of the family's 1533-position model. The record is from RNAcentral.